GGAUUAGAAAUUCAAGCCAAUCAGAUUGUGUUAAGAUGCCAUGUCACUUUAGUAAAAAAAAAAAAACCCAACUUUACGAUGGCGAUUCCUUCUUUUUCUUCGACGCCUUUCCAGUGUCUCUAUCCAACUUCUCAGCAGUUCCAAGUUUUCUUCCAUGAUCUGCCAUUAAUUUGUCCUAUUAUUGCUUUUUCAAAACAAUAGUAUUAACAUCACGAAACUGAUUGGUUGUAUCCAAUAAUAUUAAUUUUUUUCAAAAAAAAGUUCUAUUGAGGGCAACCAAAACUCGGCUUCUGUCGAUCUCAGAGAUCCAACCCGAAAAGCUGCAGAUAGAUUUCAAGCAAAGAUUCACUGAUAUCUUCCUAGCUUGCUCUUCCACCUCUUCUGGUACGUAUUUCCUUCUCUCCAAUUUCUUCAUUGCGGUUAUUUCUCCACCUUGACCAAUUGUGAUCACGUUAAAUAGGUUGAUUUGGAAAGGGAUCCCGCUGGUAUUGAGGCAAAAGGUCUGCCAACAAAGUCACGCUCGCAACACAGCGAUAGAGAAAUUGGAGUUUGAUCUUAUCCAAAGUCUCAUAUUUUAUUGUUCUUCAGGAAGAUUGAUUUACAGUAUUUGAUUUUCACUUAAUUUUCUUGGUUAUACUGGUAUUGUUUUUAGUUGGUUCUAAGCUCUGUUUCAUGUUGUAAUUAAUUUUCUGUAUUCUCAAAAGCGUUAGAAAGAAAAAGUGUUAUUUUUAGCUGCUAGAGCUUCAAGAACAGAGAAUCAAAUAUGGUUAGAAUACUUUCUGAACCUAAAGAGGCAAGAGUUGGUAUUAGAGAGAUUCACUACUUCCAAUUCAAUCCAGUCCACUUAUAUCUAUAGUAAUGGAGACUGGCACUGAGUAAGCAAAAAGAGCUUCAGAAAAGGUACCUACGAACUGAUUUUGUUUCACUGCACUUUAAAUUUUAGUAUUGUAUUUUUUCUUCAAUGAUUUAACCUGUAAAACCUUUUACUUUUGCUGAUAUUCAGAUUCUUGAUCUGUGCAAGUGGAACACAAGAGCUGAUCUGAGGAACAGAGUCCACUUAGCAAUCGAUAAGUACACUGAGCCUGGACUGAGGUCAUUAGCUGUUGCAAGAUGGCUCUACGUGAGAAAACCAAAAAUAAGCUCUGGUGGUCCAUGUGAAUUCAUUGGUGUGUUACGUUUGUUUGGUCCUCCGAAACAUGAUAGUGCAUACACCAUUAGAAGAGCUUCAGACCUCGGUGUCAACAUCCAGAUGAUCACUGGUUACUAUCUGUGUAUUUACUUCUCACUUUGGCUUUAAUCUUAUGGUGUAUUGGUUUUCUUAUAAGUGACAAACUUGCUAUUUCCAGUUAGACUUGAUGUAUGCUCAGUAUGGGAUCAAAAAUGUAUCCAUCAGCAUCAGCUUCUCUACUUAGCAAUCACAAAGACGAAAGCCUAGCUGCUGUUACUGUUGAACAGUUGAUUGAGAAAGUUGAUGGCCAACAUCACAGCACUAUUUCAUAAAGAUAUGUUAACACAGUUGACAAGACCCAGUGCGUAUAAUUUCAUAAAGAUAUGUUAACCACAUGUCUACAAGUACUCUAAGUGUAUAAUAUUUUUUUAUCAAUGAGUAUAAUUUCAUUAUCUUUUUAUCCUCCCUUACUAUUGUAUCCUUCUUUGGUUUUGCUUUCAGAUUCAUCCAGCAAAAGCUAGGAGGUCCUUCAGUUUCUGAUUACAAGAAGCUUCAAUCCGAGAAGUCUGAUCUUCAAAUAAAGUACUAUGAGGUUUUUGCUAAACAUCACAGAACGUUGAGAGAGGUAUCCCGUCCUAACUUGAAUAUAAAAGUUUAUUGGUACACCAUAUAUAGUUGAUUUGCACAUGAUUACAUGCUUAUGUAGUUCCUUAUAGUGGCUCUACAAUAACUUUCUCCACCACCCAUAAUCUUAAACAUAUUGAUUCAUCUUUGAUAAAUUGAAACUACUUGGGACCAAUGAUAUCGAGUAGCUAACUCUCUCUGUAGCUAAGAUUUUUCAUGAUUAUUAUUGAUAGGAGCCCAUAAAAAAAUGUUUAAAUGUGUUUGGCAUAUUAUGUGUGUGAUUAAUGUUGCAGUUAGAUGGGAGUGAAAAGCUUGCAUUCCCGACCAGCAAUUCAUUAGCCAAGUGAUGAUUAUGUUGUGAGAGAGGAAGUCACAACUCAGGGUUGAAGUUUUCCAGGAGAUCAAAACUCUGCCUCUCUAUGGUGACAGAGUAAAGCUUCAGCUCAUUCUUGCUGAUCUUCUGCGCAACAUUGUGAAUCAUGUCCCGUUUCCAGAUAGUUGGGUAGGAAUCAAGAUCUCAUCAAGCCACAAGCUUGCACACGAAAAUGAUCAUAUAUCCAUCUCCAGUUCAGGAUGAUACAUCCUGGAAAUGAUUUCUUUCAGAGAUACUAAGUGAUAUGUUUGAGACAUGAGAUGGAUGGGUCAUGCCUGAUGGCUUAUGACUUAAGCAGAUGGAUGGUAGUGUGAGUUAUGUUAGAGAAGACGAACGUUGUUUCUUUCAAGUGAAUCUUCAAGUUAAGACAAGGUUAGGUGUUGAGACCAUAUGAACUAGGGCUGUUCAAUAUGGUAAAACCGAACCGUACCGAACCGAACCGAACCGAAAUAGACAAUAUGGUUUGGUUUUGGUAUAUACCAUAUAAACCGAAUGGAUAUAAUUUUAUAAAAACCGUAGGAUUUGGAUAUGGUUUGGUAUAUAACCGAUUAAACCGAAUAAACCGAACAAAACCGAUUAAAA
Brassica rapa (field mustard) is the source of this 2747-nucleotide long non-coding RNA. RefSeq lists it as uncharacterized. The record is from RefSeq and is a predicted model, not a curated record. Lineage: Eukaryota; Viridiplantae; Streptophyta; Magnoliopsida; Brassicales; Brassicaceae.